AACCAUGGUAGGGACACAUAUUUAACAAAUCUUUAAAACCUUCCCAAGCUUGAUAGAGAGUUUCGUUUUCCUUCUCAGCGAAAAUUGAGAUUUGUCAUUUCAAAUU
Molecule: non-coding RNA, 106 nt
Organism: Morus notabilis
Lineage: Eukaryota; Viridiplantae; Streptophyta; Magnoliopsida; Rosales; Moraceae
Source: Rfam